Molecule: long non-coding RNA, 4246 nt
Organism: Ficedula albicollis (Collared flycatcher)
Lineage: Eukaryota; Metazoa; Chordata; Aves; Passeriformes; Muscicapidae
Source: Ensembl
UAAACCCACAUUCCCUGGAUUAAACAGCCAUUCCCAGGGUUGAACAGAAUUCCCGGGGCUAAACAGAAUUCCCUGUGUUAAACUCACAUUCCCUGUGUUAAACCCACAUUCCCAGGGUUAAACACAAUUCCAGGGUUAAACACAAUUCCAGGGUUAAACCCACAUUCCGUGGGCUCAGCAGUGCCCCUGAGCUGAGGAGCAGCUCUUGGAGCUGGGAUCCUGCAGCAAUUCCCCCAAAAGCCUGGCUGUGGAGUCCCAGUGUCCCAUUCCAGGGAAUGUCCCCUGUGUGCAGGGAAUGUCCCUUUCCAGGGAAUGUCCCCUGUGUGCAGGGAGUGUCCCAUUCCAGGGAAUGUCCCCUGUGUGCAGGGAGUGUCCCUUUCCAGGGAAUGUCCCCUGUGUGCAGGGAUUGUCCCCUGUGUGCAGGGAUUGUCCCCUGUGUCCAGGCAAUGUCCCAUUCCAGGGAAUGUCCCCUGUGUCCAGGGAAUGUCCCCUGUGUCCAGGGAGUGUCCCUUUCCAGGGAGUGUCCCCUGUGUGCAGGGAGCCCCCAGGCCUGGCUGGGGAGGUCCUGCCCUCUGUCCCUUCCCCCCAGUGGGGUGGGAGCAGGGCAGGGCAGUGUGGGCCCAUCCAGUCCCAAAAAGCAGCGCCUGGGAGCCCCGGGGUGGCAGCUCUGUGCUCCUGCAGUCCCUGUGCAAUCCCUGUCCCCACCACCGGCUUCUUUCUCUGUGCAUUGUUCUUUUGAUUCCAGUUUUAGCUACACAACGUAGAGUUGCCUUCCUUUGACUGAACGUUCGAAUGUGAAAUAUUGUAUAUUUUAAAGUAUUUACCCUAUUUAUAUACUGUAUGUUACUGUUAAAUAAAGUUAAAUUCCAUUAUCGGGGGAGGAGUUUCAUUCAGCGCUGUGGGAUGCUCCAAGCUCCCAUUCCCUCAUUCCCUGCCCCGUAGUUCUCCUUCCUAAGGGAUUUUCUGGGGAGCAGACCUGGCUGUGGCAAGGACUGGAGCUGAGCAUGAACAUUCCCUGUGGGAUUUGUGUGACCCCAGGCUCAUCCUGAUCAAUGGUGAGGGAAGUGUUGGCACUGCCCCCCCCCCCACAAAAUCAGCUCGUUUUACCUGAAGAUUUCCCUGGGAAUGUGAAAAAUCCCUGUGAGUUCCACUUGUGGCACUGCCCCCCCCCCACAAAAUCAGCUCGUUUUACCUGAAGAUUUCCCUGGGAAUGUGAAAAAUCCCUGUGAGUUCCACUUGCCAUAAGUUAUUCCUUCAUUUCAGCCCUUUCUCCUGACUUGCUGGGGGUCAGGAGGGCAGAAUCCUCUGUUUACCCAGCAAGAUGCUAUUUUUAGCUCUGGUGUUAUUUUGUCAGUUUUUUUUUUUUUUUUUUUUUUCCCCCCCCCCCCCCCCCCCCCCCCCCCCCCCCCCCCCCCCCCCCCCCCUUGGUUUUUUUUUUGACUUAUCAGCCAAGCCAAAGCAGCCCCUCAGCUGCUCUCGGGGCUUCCUGUCACUGCGUGGGCACUGCGGACAGACUCAGCCUCCGGCAGCAGCAGGGCGGGGUGGAAACCAUCGAGGUGACUGCAGCCCCAGCUCCCCACUCACAGGGGCAGCAGCGUUCAGGAUCCAGCUCGAUGUGAAGCAAGGUGAGGGCUGGCCAGUCCUCUGGGGGUAAAUCUGCCAGAGAAGGACGCUGGGGUGCUCGGGCAGCUGUGACACAGGCACUGGCACCCUGCGUGGCACAGCCCAGCCCAGUGCCAGCCCUUCUGCCAGGGCUCCCCCUGCUUCCCCCCGUCCUGUGCCAGUUCAAUUUGGUUAAACCUGGAAAAGUGCAGAUUCCCAGCGGGAAUCCUGGUGCUGGCUGUGCUCCAGCCCCAGGCAGAGCCUCAAACCCAGGCUGCCUCCCUGUGACCUGCUGUGUGAGAUCCUGAUGGGAGCCGUGAAAAAAAAAAACAACUUCAGGGGCUGAGAUUUGCCCUUUUUUAGGUCCUGCUGAGGCGUGGGAGGUUCAGAUUGGAUAUUGGGAAGGAAUUGUUCCCUGUGAGGGUGGGCAGGGGCUGGGCUGGAAUUCCCAGAGCAGCUGUGGCAGGCUGGACAGGGCUUGGAGCAGCCUGGGACCGUGGAAGGUGUGGAAAAGGAUGGAAUUGGAUCAUUCCUCAGGUGCUUUCCAACCCAAACCAGUCUGGAAUUCCAUGGUUCACCCCCCCCCCCCCCCCCCCCCCCCCCCCCCCCCCCCCCAGCUGUUGCAGGCUGGACAGGGCUUGGAGCAGCCUGGGACCGUGGAAGGUGUGGAAAAGGAUGGAAUUGGAUCAUUCCUCAGGUGCUUUCCAACCCAAACCAGUCUGGAAUUCCAUGGUUGAGCUCAGGAACAGGCUGCCCUGAGGGGGGGGGGCUAAGAAAAAAUUCAAUCUGGUGUUGUCCCUCCCCAGUUCUGCCAGGUCCCUGAGCAGGAGGGGGCUGAAGCAGCUCUGGGGGGGCUCCCAGGGGCUGUUUUGGGGUGCCAGGGAGGGCUGAGCUCGGUGCUGUGCACACAGCCUUGGGCUGAGCUGCAGUUUUGGGCUCAAGCAGAGUUUCCGUUCUGGAGGAGGGGACGGGGCCUCGUGACAUCCUGCCCUGGGAAAGGGCUGCAGGGACUGCAGAGGGCAAAGUGGGGGAGCCCCUGGAGCUCCUUCUCUGCUGGGAGAGGCUGAGCUGGAGCAGAGCUAAAUGAACAGAACAGGGAUUUAUGGAAAGCUUUCCAAGGAUUCACCUUGGGCAGAGCCAGAGCCCGGCCGUGGCUCCACCCAGGAUGGACUCAGAGUCACGAGUUUCACACUUUUAUCAGUUUGGGUCCAUUCCCACUCUGGGGUUCAGUGUCCAGUUCCAGCUGCAGGUUCUGCAGUCCCACCCUCCCACAUUCUCUCCUCCGUUCUCUCUGUUUGCACUUUUUGGGGCUGGAGCUGCAGCCUGUCCUUGGUUCUGGGGCUGGGAUUGUUUUGUGUGACUGAGCUGGGAGCAGAACCUGCUGACAUUUUAUAUCAAGUUCAGAGUCACACAAUAAUGCAGCGCAGGACCUGGAAAAUACAAAAGCUAAACCUCAAGGCAUUACUUAGCUCUCUGCAAAUACUACUGAGAGUUAAAACUGGUGCUUAACCCAGGGCUCACUCAGGGCCUCUGCUUGGGCUACAACAGAAAUGAAGCCAGUUCAGGAGUUUGGGUCCAGAUCAGGGUUGUGGGUUAAUCUUGUCAGGCUGGGGGAACAUCCUGGGCUGCUCUGCUGUGAAAUUCCACACUGUCAUAUUCUCUGCACUUUGGGCAGUGGAAUCUCUGAGCUGGGGAUCUCUGAGCUGGCUCCACUCACUGCCCCCAGCAACAAAGUCGUUUUUCAGCUGUGAUCAACCCAAAUUAAACCCAAAUUAAUAAACCCCGGCAAGCUCCAGGCACCUAGCACAGGCUCCAGCCCUUUCCUUUCCUCAGUUUAAGUUACAGCACUGAAUAAAAUCCACCUUGCAGUGGUUCCUGGGCACAAAGCUGGGCUGGGAAUCACAACAGGAACAGGAAUCACGAUGUCUUUGCUCUGUUCCUGCUUCUGCUCGGGGCAGCUUCCCUCUGCACAGGGCCUGGGCUUUCCCAGGGAGGGGGAGAUGGGGCUGGGGGCUCCCCCAGGCCUUGGGGGGACCCUGCUGUGCUGGGAGCUCAGAGCAGCUCCCACCAAUUGUGAGAUUUGGUGGAUGUAGUAAUUCUGAACAAGUUUGGGCCACAGUGACUUGUCUGAACAAGUCCAAGCCUUAGUCUGUAUUUAGUACAUUUCUAUUUUAAUUUUCCUAGUAAAGAACUGUUAUUCCUAUUCCCAUAUCUUUGCCUAAGAGCCCCUUAUUUUCAAAAUUAUAAUAAUUUGGAGAGAGGAGGUUUACAUUCUCCAUUUCAGAGAGAAGCUUCUGCCUUUAUUGGCAGAUACCUGUCCUUCAAGCCAGGACAGCUGCCUAGUUGUUUUUCUGCAUAUUUUGCUGGUUCUUCACACACUUAGCUGUUUUUCCGUAUAUUUCUUAGUUUAGACCAAUGUUUAUAACAAGUGCACAAAAUGAGCCAUUUUUAAGUGUUUUUCUACAACUUUUUAAAACCCGUUAAAGCCGCUAAAACAUAAACUGUGCUAAAUAAAAAAAAAAAAAACAAAAAAACACUAAAAAAGAAAAUGCUAAAAUUAAAAAACCCAAAAUAAAAGCAAAGUUCUAAACAACCACCAAUCCAUUUCCUGAGCUCGGGCAUGGCAGGGAUGCAAAGCUUUGGG